Molecule: long non-coding RNA, 1705 nt
Filed under: Homo sapiens (human)
Lineage: Eukaryota; Metazoa; Chordata; Mammalia; Primates; Hominidae
Description: non-protein coding LINC00882:23
Source: RNAcentral
UUGUAUGUUAAAACUGCUAAACUCUAAACAUCUAUGUGCUUUGGUGCCCCGUUUUCUUUGAUUUGGAGUUUAGGAUGAGAGACGUUGAGCUCCAAACUCAGACUAAGAAACUAUAAGAAAUAUGCUUCAAUGAAGAAGCUGUUCAAAAAUGAGUAAGAUUGUUUCCUUGAGGCAAGAAAGAAAUGCAGAAGUCUUGACAAACAAAAGAAGAGAUUGCCUUAGGGAAGGGGACUACAGUGAACACUGAGAACUUCUUCCCACGCUAAGACAAUCUUUACAGAGCAAGACUCCGUCUCAAAAAAAAAAAAAAAAGUGGAGACCUAUUCUGUUGGGUUAGAGAUGACAGAAAAUCUUAUUUGUCGGUUGGUUUGUUUGUUCAAGAAUACACUGACCUUCUACAAGAAAGGAGAGCUCUUUGACACCUGGAAAUUUUACAGAAGCUUGGGACAGCUCUGAAUGGCAACACGGUCCUGAGAUAUGUGAUUACCUGGGACUUUCAUUGGACCUGCAUUUCAGCUCUACUCUCCUCACUGCCCUAUGCUGCUUUGACCCUAAAAGUGAAGCCAGCUUGGCCAGGUGCAGUGACUCACACCUGUAAUCCCAGCACUUUGGGAGGCCGAGGUGGGCAAAUCAAGAAGUCAGGAAAUCGAGACCACCCUGGCCAACAUUGUGAAACACCAUCUCUACUAAAACACAAAAAAAUUAGCCAGGUGUGGUGGCACGCACCUGUAGUCCCAGCUACUCGGGAGGCUGAGGCAGGGGAAUCACUUGAACCCGUGAGGAGGAAAUUGCAGCGAGCCAAGAUCGCGCCACUGCACCCCAGCCUGGGCGACAGAGAGAGACUCCAUCUCAAAAACAAAACAAAACAAAACAAAAAAAACAAAAAGUGAAGCCAACUCAAUUGUCUCAUAGAACUGAUCUUUACGGUGUUUUUAAAUAAACAUAGAAAUUGGCCCUCCCAGUCUUAAAACUUCAAAAACUUACAUUUGUCUUACCUCAGUUCCUUUCUCAGGAAUCCAAUCAUCAAGGCUCCCAGAUAGUAUCAAUGAACGGAAACUUACCAGAUCACGAUAUCUGGACAAUGAGAUGUCAGAUCCCCCUCAUCCAUCCUGAUUACCUAACUGACUACCUGCUUCCUGUUGGCCAACUACUCUUCCUUACCCCUCCCUAAUUCUUGUUUUCCCACAAAUGGUUACAUUUCUGUCCUGCUAUAGAAGCCCUUAAUUUUAAUUGGUCGAGGAGAUGGAUUUGAGACUGAUUUUUUGCUCUCCUUGGCUGUUGCACCUGAAUAGCCUUUUUCCCUGGCAAUACUUUUUGUCUCAGUGAUUGGCUUUCUGUGCAGUGAGCAAUGGGACCAAACUUCUGGUGUUUUGGUAACAAAUUUUGGUUUCCUGACUGUGAAUGCAUUGCUUGUGACUCAGCUGCCAUGAGCUGGGAGAGUUUCAAAAGCCCUCUAAGCAGCUACCUGACCAUUUUGGCCAGAGGUGGAUUUUCGUCUCUCCCCAUUUGGGCCCACUUCUGCCAACCCCAACCAUGUUCCUGAUUGCCUAGGAAGAACAGCCUUUGAAAUUUGACGUCUAUGUACAGAAAGAGUAAAAGACAAGCUUCUGUGGAAAGGGCAACAAACACUAUCACCCUCAGACCAGAGGUGAACAUCCUUUGCAGCAAGGUGAAAGAGAUACAAAACACCCUCUGCCCUUGAAGG